Molecule: unclassified non-coding RNA, 253 nt
Filed under: uncultured Caryophanales bacterium
Lineage: Bacteria; Bacillati; Bacillota; Bacilli; Caryophanales
Description: uncultured Bacillales bacterium contains 16S-23S intergenic spacer region
Rfam family: Bacterial small subunit ribosomal RNA
Source: RNAcentral
UACGUAGGGGGCGAGCGUUGUCCGGAGUUAUUGGGCGUAAAGCGCGCGCAGGCGGCCGCUUAAGUCUGAUGUGAAAGCCCCCGGCUCAACCGGGGAGGGCCGUUGGAAACUGGGAGGCUUGAGUAUUGAAGAGAAGAGUGGAAUUCCACGUGUAGCGGUGAAAUGCGUAGAGAUGUGGAGGAACACCAGUGGCGAAGGCGAGUCUUUGGCCUAUAACUGACGAUGAGGCGCGAAAGCGUGGGGAGCAAACAGG